RNAcentral lists this ribosomal RNA (497 nucleotides) under uncultured bacterium. RNAcentral describes it as "partial 16S ribosomal RNA". It matches the Rfam family "Bacterial small subunit ribosomal RNA", at positions 28 to 507 of the family's 1533-position model. The record is from RNAcentral.
GAUGAACGCUGGCGGCGUGCCUAAUACAUGCAAGUCGAGCGAACAGACGAGGAGCUUGCUCCUCUGACGUUAGCGGCGGACGGGUGAGUAACACGUGGAUAACCUACCUAUAAGACUGGGAUAACUUCGGGAAACCGGAGCUAAUACCGGAUAAUAUAUUGAACCGCAUGGUUCAAUAGUGAAAGACGGUUUUGCUGUCACUUAUAGAUGGAUCCGCGCCGCAUUAGCUAGUUGGUAAGGUAACGGCUUACCAAGGCAACGAUGCGUAGCCGACCUGAGAGGGUGAUCGGCCACACGGGAACUGAGACACGGUCCAGACUCCGACGGGAGGCAGCAGUAGGGAAUCUUCCGCAAUGGGCGAAAGCCUGACGGAGCAACGCCGCGGGAGUGAUGAAGGUCUUCGGAUCGUAAAGCCCUGUUAUUAGGGAAGAACAAAUGUGUAAGUAACUAUGCACGUCUUGACGGUACCUAAUCAGAAAGCCACGGCUAACUACGUG